RNAcentral lists this long non-coding RNA (440 nucleotides) under Trifolium pratense (red clover). Its description in RNAcentral is "long non-coding RNA (TPRA_LNC005006)". The record is from RNAcentral. Lineage: Eukaryota; Viridiplantae; Streptophyta; Magnoliopsida; Fabales; Fabaceae.
UCAAACAAGAAAAAUUUAUGCACCUUUAACUUUGUCCUAACAUAUAUAUGAAGAUCAUCAUUGGACAAAUAUGAUUAGAUAGCAGACUCCAAGCAUGAGAAUAGCCUAGAAUUUCUUGAGACAUUGAGGGAAAGGAGACGACAUGGAAUUUGUGCAUCACACCAAGUUACAUCGCACACACAAUAUGAUACAAAUACUAUCAUGUUCAACCUUACAUAGUUGUUAAAAAACAAUCAAAACAGAAAACAAGAGUAACAUAUAACAUUAUUUCAAGUACAUGACAUUAAUUACAAGUAAAAUCCAUAAGUUUCCCCCUAAAUACUAAGUAAUUAAAUAUGCAAUAAAAAAUUCUCAUGAUAAGCCAACUCCUUUUCUUCCUCUCAUCAGACAACUUGAACUUCCAACUUCUCAAUGUUUUUACUGCCCAUUUAAGCUUGUUG